GACCGGAGUGGACGAACCUCUGGUGUUCGGGUUGUCACGCCAGUGGCAUUGCCCGGUAGCUAAGUUCGGAAUCGAUAAGCGCUGAAAGCAUCUAAGCGCGAAGCGAGCCUUGAGAUGAGUUUUCCCUGGCACUUUAAGUGCCCUAAAGGGUUGUUCGAGACUAGAACGUUGAUAGGCAGGGUGUGUAAGCGCUGUGAGGCGUUGAGCUAACCUGUACUAAUUGCCCGUGAGGCUUAACCAUACAACACCCAAGGGGUUUUGUA
RNAcentral lists this ribosomal RNA (263 nucleotides) under Vibrio renipiscarius. Its description in RNAcentral is "partial 23S ribosomal RNA". It matches the Rfam family "Bacterial large subunit ribosomal RNA", at positions 2690 to 2925 of the family's 2925-position model. The record is from RNAcentral. Lineage: Bacteria; Pseudomonadati; Pseudomonadota; Gammaproteobacteria; Vibrionales; Vibrionaceae.